CCCAAGACACAACCACUCAAAUUUCCCAUUUCAAUUUCUUUGUUAAUGAGUAUUUGCUUCAAGAUAUAAAGACCCACUUUUGUCGUUUCUUACCCAUGUUUCUUUUCUGUUGUCUAGCAACAGGAGCGUGAUGAUGAUGAUCAUCUGGUGAAACAGUCUUCCUCAUACAUAUGGGGCCCUUUAUCCCAUCUUAAACGUGCUCAGGACCACCAUUGAACAUGAUGAAAAUUCAUCUUAGUG
This 240-nucleotide long non-coding RNA is filed under the name Medicago truncatula (barrel medic). RNAcentral's name for it is "long non-coding RNA (MTRU_LNC008878)". Lineage: Eukaryota; Viridiplantae; Streptophyta; Magnoliopsida; Fabales; Fabaceae. The record is from RNAcentral.